This 342-nucleotide ribosomal RNA is filed under the name uncultured Streptococcus sp. RNAcentral describes it as "bacterial SSU rRNA". It matches the Rfam family "Bacterial small subunit ribosomal RNA", at positions 1043 to 1382 of the family's 1533-position model. The record is from RNAcentral. Lineage: Bacteria; Bacillati; Bacillota; Bacilli; Lactobacillales; Streptococcaceae.
GCUAGUGUUGUCGUCAGCUCGUGUCGUGAGAUGUUGGGUUAAGUCCCGCAACGAGCGCAACCCCUAUUCGUUAGUUGCCAUCAUUCAGUUGGGCACUCUAAGCGAGACUCGGCGGUAAUAAACCGGAGGAAGGUGGGGAUGACGUCAAAUCAUCAUGCCCCUUAUGACCUGGGCUACACACGUGCUACAAUGGUUGGUACAACGAGUUGCGAGUCGGUGACGGCGAGCUAAUCUCUUAAAGCCAAUCUCAGUUCGGAUUGUAGGCUGCAACUCGCCUACAUGAAGUCGGAAUCGCUAGUAAUCGCGGAUCAGCACGCCGCGGUGAAUACGUUCCCGGGCCUU